Molecule: ribosomal RNA, 619 nt
Filed under: Amphistegina lessonii
Lineage: Eukaryota; Foraminifera; Rotaliida; Amphisteginidae
Description: SSU rRNA
Rfam family: Eukaryotic small subunit ribosomal RNA
Source: RNAcentral
GUGGAGCAUGUGGCUUAAUUUGACUCAACGCGGGGAAUCUUACUAGGUCAGGACCGAUUCAUGAAUGUCACCGUAAUGUGUCGCCGGUACAUGAUUGUUGGAUGAGUGGUGCAUGGCCGUUCUUAGUUCGUGGCACGAGUCGUUGCAUUAAUUUGUUUCGAUUCUACGCCUCUGCGGGCAAAAGAACGUAAAAACGAACGAGACCGUGGCCUGUAUAAAACUACAGGGACAGGGGAACAAUACUACUACACACCAGGAAGGGCACGGCAAUAACAGGUCUGUGAUGCCCUCAGAUGUUCUAGGCCGCACACGUGCUACAAUUGCUUCCGUAGUUGUAGUGCGCGUGUUGUGAGAUCCCCCGCGUAGAGUCAAGUUGAGUCCCCUAGUUGAGAUCGUCGGUUGUAACUAUCUGACGUCGUAACUAGGAAUGCCUCGUACGGUGGGAUCAACGAGUUCCAUUGGAAUCCGUCCCUGCCCUUUGUACACACCGCCCGUCGCUCUUACCGAUGGCGGUGGUUUCGAAUGUCACCGAGUGGGUUGUUGGUUUAAUAUACUCGCGACUCGCAACGUAACGUAAGAAACCGCCGCUAAAGGAAAGAGAAGUCGUAACAAGGCAUCG